This 422-nucleotide ribosomal RNA is filed under the name uncultured bacterium. Its description in RNAcentral is "bacterial SSU rRNA". It matches the Rfam family "Bacterial small subunit ribosomal RNA", at positions 355 to 774 of the family's 1533-position model. The record is from RNAcentral.
UGAGGAAUAUUGGGCAAUGGGCGAAAGCCUGACCCAGCCAUGCCGCGUGCAGGAUGACAGUCCUAUGGAUUGUAAACUGCUUUUGUAUGGGAAGAAUUCCCCCGACUCUUCGGGGGUUGACGGUACCAUUCGAAUAAGGACCGGCUAACUCCGUGCCAGCAGCCGCGGUAAUACGGAGGGUCCAAGCGUUAUCCGGAUUCACUGGGUUUAAAGGGUGCGCAGGCGGAAUAGUAAGUCAAUGGUGAAAGCCUACAGCUUAACUGUAGAAUGGCCAUUGAUACUGCUGUUCUUGAGUAUAGUUGAGGGAAGUGGAAUGCGUAAUGUAGCGGUGAAAUGCAUAGAUAUUACGCAGAACACCAAUUGCGAAAGCAGCUUCCUAAACUACUACUGACGCUGAGGCACGAAAGCGUGGGGAGCGAACA